GAUUCAUCUGGUAUGGGAUGGGGUCGCGUCCUAUCAGCUUGAUGGCGGGGUAACGGCCCACCAUGGCUUCCACGGGUAGCCGGCCUGAGAGGGCGACCCGCCACAUUGGGACUGAGAUACGGCCCACACUCCUACGGGA
Molecule: ribosomal RNA, 139 nt
Filed under: Bifidobacterium sp. 434
Lineage: Bacteria; Bacillati; Actinomycetota; Actinomycetes; Bifidobacteriales; Bifidobacteriaceae
Description: partial 16S ribosomal RNA
Rfam family: Bacterial small subunit ribosomal RNA
Source: RNAcentral